Molecule: ribosomal RNA, 468 nt
Filed under: uncultured bacterium
Lineage: Bacteria
Description: partial 16S ribosomal RNA
Rfam family: Bacterial small subunit ribosomal RNA
Source: RNAcentral
GACGAACGCUGGCGGCGUGCUUAACACAUGCAAGUCGAACGGAAAGGCCCUGCUUUUGUGGGGUGCUCGAGUGGCGAACGGGUGAGUAACACGUGAGUAACCUGCCCUUGACUUUGGGAUAACUUCAGGAAACUGGGGCUAAUACCGGAUAGGAGCUCCUGCUGCAUGGUGGGGGUUGGAAAGUUUCGGCGGUUGGGGAUGGACUCGCGGCUUAUCAGCUUGUUGGUGGGGUAGUGGCUUACCAAGGCUUUGACGGGUAGCCGGCCUGAGAGGGUGACCGGCCACAUUGGGACUGAGAUACGGCCCAGACUCCUACGGGAGGCAGCAGUGGGGAAUAUUACACAGUGGGCGGAAGCCUGAUGCGACGACGCCGCGUGCGGGAUGACGGCCUUCGGGUUGUAAACCGCUUUCGCCUGUGACGAAGCGUGAGUGACGGUAAUGGGUAAAGAAGCACCGGCUAACUACGUG